CACCAGGAGUUCUCUAACCUCUCAUUGGGACCCCCCCCCAGACCUUUCACUAUUUAGUUGUAUCUCUGAAUUAUCUCACCUGAUUGACCUAUUGAAAGGGGCUUGAUGAUUCGUUGACCAGUUGAAUCAGGUGAGUUAGCUGUGGAAUAGAUAAAUACAUGGAACUGUUGGGAGUCCUGAGGUUUGGAGAACGCCUGGGGACCUGAGGAAAGGUUGGAGAACGUCUGGGGACCUGAGGAAAGGUUGGAGAACGUCUGGGGACCUGAGGAAAGGUUGGAGAACAUCUGGGGGUUCUGAGGAUAGGUUGGAGAACGUCUGGGGUCCUGAGGAGAGGUUGGAGAACGUCUGGGGUCCUGAGGAGAGGUUGGAGAAUGUCUAGGGACCCGAGGAGAGGUUGGAGAACGUCUGGAGGUCCUGAGGAGACAUUGGAGAACGUCUAGGGACCAGAGGAGAGGUUUGAGAACGUCUAGGGACCAGAGGAGACGUUGGAGAACAUCUGGGGGUCCUGAGGAGAGGUUGGAGAAAGUCUAGGGACCAGGGGAGAUGUUGGAGAACCACUGUCUUAUACAGUCUGAUGCUCUGGAUCCCUCAUUGUAGAUUUUGGUUAUAGACUUAAACACUGGUGUUGGAAAUUCAAAAUGAGAUGAAUCUGAGCCGUGUUGAGAGACAUGUAGAGAGAUGAGGUCGGCUGGCAGCAUCACAUAAAGACUUGUCUUUCUCUUGCAGACCAAAUGCUUCAUCUGCGGAAUAGGAAACGACUACUUUGACACAGUACCUCACGGCUUCGAAACCCACACACUGCAGGAGCACAACUUGGCCAACUAUCUCUUCUUUGUGAUGUAUCUCAUUAACAAAGAUGAAACAGAGCACACAGGCCAGGAGUCGUAUGUGUGGAAGAUGUACCAGGAACGGUGUUGGGAAUUCUUCCCUGCCGGAGACUGUUUCCGCAAACAAUACGAAGACCAGCUCAACUGAUUCAUGAAUCAACUGAUCAAUUCAACUGACUACUGAUCAGCUGAUCUAUUGAUCCAGAUGCAGAGACUCGUCCUUUCUUACUGAUCAAUGUGAAAGGGGCUGUUUCGUCACCUUCCUUCGUCAGCUAGCCCCCCCCCCCCCGUGCUGUUUGGAAAGCUUUCCAGACACUGUACAUAAUAAUAUAAUGACUAGUCAACUGUAUAAUGUCCUUCCUGGGUGCGUUUGGAACACAGGGCUGUGUUUUGACUUUGAGGACUUAAUGCUUCAUCUAUACAUUUGCUUUUAAUAAUUCCACAUUGAUGACAAGCGAACUAAAUGAUUGGAGGGGAGAUGGGGGGGACACUGAAGAAAAAGAGGAGAAAAAAAGGACUCAAACCAAACUGCUUUGUGGGACGUGCUUCUCCAGAGAACACAUGAAUGAAUAAAGGCAUGAAUAAAGGCUGUUGCUCGUCCUCUACGCCUCAGGAAUGACAGGAUGUACAGUACUGUACAGGAGAUGAAGGGCCAGCGGAUGGAGAGGGUGGACAGUACUGUACGGUACAUACAGGAGGCCCAGCGGAUGGAGAGGGUGGACCGAGGCGGGACAUGAUGAGGGAACAGUGCCUUACCAAGCCGGGUCUGAGCAGAGCUAUGCAAGAUGGAGGAAAGAGGAAGGAAUCAGCAACACGUCAGCACAUCAUGUGGAGACUGAUACACGGGGGCUGAUGUUUCUGACAUUAACGAUGGGAGGCUGUGUGUGUGUGUGUGUGUGGAGACUGAUACACGGGGGCUGAUGUUUCUGACGUAACGAUGGGAGGCUGUGUGUGUGUGUGUGUGUGUGUGUGUGUGUGUGUGUGUGUGUGUGUGUGGAGACUGAUACACGGGGGCUGAUGUUUCUGACGUAACGAUGGGAGGCUGUGUGUGUGUGUGUGUGUGUGUGUGUGUGUGUGUGUGUGUGUGUGUGUGUGUGUGUGUGUGUGUGUGUGUGUGUGUGUGGAGACUGAUACACGGGGGCUGAUGUUUCUGACGUAACGAUGGGAGGCUGUGUGUGUGUGUGUGUGUGUGUGUGUGUGUGUGUGUGUGUGAGUGGUGUGUCUCGGAGACAGCGUGGACGGAGUGUGUGUGUGUGUGUGUGUGUGUGUGUGUGUGUGUGUGUGUGAGUGGUGUGUCUCGGAGACAGCGUGGACGGAGUGUGUGUGUGUUGGAGAUAAGACAAGGAGGAAGGAUGAUAGAGAGUGAAGGAGGGAGGGAGGGGGAGAGAGAAAGAGAGAGAGAAGGAGGAAGGAUGAUAGA
Oncorhynchus nerka (sockeye salmon) is the source of this 2247-nucleotide long non-coding RNA. RefSeq lists it as uncharacterized. The transcript has 3 exons. Lineage: Eukaryota; Metazoa; Chordata; Actinopteri; Salmoniformes; Salmonidae. The record is from RefSeq and is a predicted model, not a curated record.